CUUGACCGGAGACAUCUGAGAUGCAGCUGUUUGUUUCUGCUUGGGAAGCAGCACAGCAGUAACUUAACAAGCCUUUGAUGCACAGGCUGGUCCGUGUCGCAUCUACAGACUGAUGAAAGUGCUGAGGACGGCAGUGGACAAGGGAUGCUCAGCUACAGAGUGAAAACAAGCUUCCAUCUUAGCUGUCCCCAUCAUCUCCACAGCAGAGGAAGAAAAGGAAGGGAUGGUGACCCUGUUCGAGGGAAACUGAUGAAACCCUACAGGAGGGAGAUCUGAGUCAUGAGAGCUUCUCAUGGAAACUUACUUCCUGGCCUCCUUUUUGCUGUGUACUGUGAACAGGAGAUGAACUAAGGCAUAGUGGAGGGAAGCUGCAAUUUCACAAGCUCUCUGAAGCACUAUAAGCAGUUUUCAUUCCUAUAAAACAUGCAAUCUUCCAGUA
Molecule: long non-coding RNA, 439 nt
Organism: Vidua chalybeata
Lineage: Eukaryota; Metazoa; Chordata; Aves; Passeriformes; Viduidae
Exons: 3
Source: RefSeq, a predicted model, not a curated record